This 76-nucleotide small RNA is filed under the name Flavobacterium araucananum. RNAcentral describes it as "Flavo-1 RNA". The record is from RNAcentral. Lineage: Bacteria; Pseudomonadati; Bacteroidota; Flavobacteriia; Flavobacteriales; Flavobacteriaceae.
AAUUUCAUUUGAAGGGAAAAUCCUUUUAUAUCCGCCGCGGCGGAUAUAAAAGAUUGGAAUGAUAGCAGGAAAUAGC